AAGAUUGGAAAAAAAAAAAUGAAUAAAAAAAACACAUAAAAUGCAUUACAAAAAAAUGACAAAAAAAAAAGAACUCAAUGACGAAGCACUUGUAACAAAAUAGCACUGUUUUAUUAAAAGGAAAAAUAAAAUACAUACUAGCAAUAAAAAACCAAAUAAAAAUAACAAAGAACUUGCUGUU
Drosophila subobscura is the source of this 181-nucleotide long non-coding RNA. RefSeq lists it as uncharacterized. The record is from RefSeq and is a predicted model, not a curated record. The transcript has 3 exons. Lineage: Eukaryota; Metazoa; Arthropoda; Insecta; Diptera; Drosophilidae.